GGGACCGUGAGCCAACCUGGUAAGCUGCAAGCUUCGGGUGCUUGUUAUCUGAGUUCGAAUCUCGGCGGUCCCA
This 73-nucleotide transfer RNA is filed under the name Microcaldota archaeon. RNAcentral's name for it is "tRNA-Pro". It matches the Rfam family "tRNA". From Rfam's summary of the family: Transfer RNA (tRNA) molecules are approximately 80 nucleotides in length. Their secondary structure includes four short double-helical elements and three loops (D, anti-codon, and T loops). Further hydrogen bonds mediate the characteristic L-shaped molecular structure. tRNAs have two regions of fundamental functional importance: the anti-codon, which is responsible for specific mRNA codon recognition, and the 3' end, to which the tRNAs corresponding amino acid is attached (by aminoacyl-tRNA synthetases). tRNAs cope with the degeneracy of the genetic code in two manners: having more than one tRNA (with a specific anti-codon) for a particular amino acid; and 'wobble' base-pairing, i.e. permitting non-standard base-pairing at the 3rd anti-codon position. The record is from RNAcentral. RNAcentral also lists the same sequence under 1 other name. Lineage: Archaea; Nanobdellati; Microcaldota.